Molecule: ribosomal RNA, 577 nt
Filed under: uncultured bacterium
Lineage: Bacteria
Description: bacterial SSU rRNA
Rfam family: Bacterial small subunit ribosomal RNA
Source: RNAcentral
AUUAGCUAGUUGGUAGGGUAACGGCCUACCAAGGCUACGAUGUCUUGGGGUCCUGAGAGGGUGAUCCCCCACACUGGUACUGAGACACGGACCAGACUCCUACGGGAGGCAGCAGUGAGGAAUAUUGGUCAAUGGGCGCAAGCCUGAACCAGCCAUCCCGCGUGCAGGAAGAAGGCGCUAUGCGUCGUAAACGGCUAACUCCGUGCCAGCAGCCGCGGUAAUACGGAGGAUGCGAGCGUUAUCCGGAUUUAUUGGGUCGAAAGGGUGCGUAGGCGGAUUACUAAGUCAGUGGUGAAAACCUGCAGCUUAACUGUAGAAUUGCCAUUGAUACUGAUAGUCUUGAGUACGGUCAAUGUAGGCGGAAUGUGUAAUGUAGCGGUGAAAUGCUUAGAUAUUACACAGAACACCGAUUGCGAAGGCAGCUUACUGGGCCAUUACUGACGCUGAUGCACGAAAGCGUGGGGAGCGAACAGGAUUAGAUACCCUGGUAGUCCACGCCGUAAACCGUGAUCACUCGCUGUUGGCGAUACACAGUCAGCGGCUAAGCAAAAGCAUUAAGUGAUCCACCUGGGGAGUA